GUAUAUAUAUAUAUAUAUAUAUAUAGACUGGCAAGAAAGGCUUCUUGUCUGUGAGGUAUAAACUCUGGAAAGUCUUCAUUGUGUUUCAUGAGGUUGAAGUUUACCUGCUAUCAUCCACUGCCAUUCUACAGGGCUUUUUUUUUUUUCUGUAACCAUCAUCUUAGAAUGUUUACUAAGAAUUGGUCAGUUUGAAAAUUGUCCUUCUUUAGCCAUAAUGAAAUUAUUGAGACUAAUGUGUUCUUUUAUAAAUGAUUAAAGAAAAAACGUGAAGAUUGUAUGUACCUGUAUCAGUGUGUACAGUAGAGUGAAACUAUGUUAUAUAUUGUCAAUUGUUCUUACUUUUAGACACCUAAAGCUAGACUGAUUGGUCCUCAACAAGCUAUAUUAUUAGCAUUAAUAUAAGGAAAGGUUAACAAUUUUAAGCUAUGCAUGCUCUAAUCUCAAUCUUAUGAAAGACAUAGAACAAAUAAUUCUCACUUCGUUUUC
Molecule: non-coding RNA, 486 nt
Organism: Biomphalaria pfeifferi
Lineage: Eukaryota; Metazoa; Mollusca; Gastropoda; Planorbidae
Source: the annotation of a GenBank genome assembly